CUCUUGUAUAAUCUAGAAUAAUAUAGAUCUACAACACCUAGGCCUAGACUAAAGUUAAAGACUAAAGUCUAGAUUUAUUUAACGUUUAAAAAAAAAAAUCAAUAGAUCUAAUAUAGACAGUCAUGAGAUCCACUCUAUUUUAUCUAGAUCUAGAUCUAGACCAUACAUGAGAUCAAUAAUUGUCAGUAUGAAUAUUUAAUUAUUUAUAGAAUAAUAUAGAUCUAGUCACAAUCUAGUCAAAUCUAGUCACUCUAGUCUAGAGUCUAGAUCUAUCGAUCAUCUAUGAUCUAGUCUGUCUAUAGCUAUACUUACUAUUAUACACUUUUACAGUAUAUGAGUAUACUCAUACGAGUCAUACUGGCUAUACUAUAGUAUAGACACUAUAGUUAGUAUAGUUAAUACUUUUUAAUAGUAGAUCUAUAAUCUAUCAAUUCUAUCUAAAUUAUUCUAAAUCUAGACUUCACUUUCACAUCACAUUCAGUCAUUCACACGAUUAUUGAUACAGACAGUGAAUGAAACGAAUGCAGUGGUUAUACUGAUUAUACUUAAAGUGACGAUACUACUUAUAGAUCUACCAGUUGAUAAACAUCAUCAUCAUCAUAGUUCAUAGAUAAUAAUCUACAUCUAUAAUCAUAGUGCCCUUUAUUUAGUCAAUAUAGUCAAGUCAAGGUAGUGGAACGUAAACUCGAAGGUUUAAUACAAUAUGUUAUUAACAAGUAGAACCAUGGCAACCAGUUCUGAUGAUGUACCAGAAUGGCUCAAGGAUCAUACUUAUACUAUUUCUACUCUCUGGGCAUCCAUUCAAUAUUUAAUUUAUGUUUGGAAAUGCAAGAAAAAGGCAUGCAUUCCUGAAAAGUCAAUGAUUGGUUGCACCUCUUAAAGGUAAGAUAACUUUCUGUUAUGAGAAAAGAUGAGAUUCUUGGACUCCUGCAUAGCACCACCAGAAAGGAAAAUCCCAUCAUGUUGCAAAAUAAAAGUCUUGGACCAAUUUUAAUUUAAGAUAUAUCUAUUAUACUGUAAGCUGUAUACAUAUUUAUGUAUAUCCUGUCAUUCAGCCAACAGGUUUGGAUUUAGUAUUUCUUUAAAUCUGUUUGAUAUUGUACUUGAAAACUAUUAAUCUGAGCCCCAUUAAAACAAGAGGGAGUGCAGUGGAUGAGUGGUAAGGGAAAUUUUACUUUUUUUAAAUUAAAAUAAGAAUCUAACAAAAGUAAACAUAUAAAAUAUGGUGCAUUCUCCUUAAAACUAAAAACUGGUGCAAAGGUUUAAAAUGUUGGCAAAAAAAAAAGCAACAUCAAUUAAAUAUUCUUAAUUCCCUUUGCAAAACUUACUGAGAAGAACAUGCAUGUUGUUCCCUCAUAAGUUUCUUGACAGAGGAAAUCUUGUUUAUAUUAGAUUUGAAUUAAGCAAAUUAAGAAAAAAAUUAUAAUCAUUAUUUCAAAUGGUUGUAUCUAAACCUUAUGAAUUAUUUUUCAGUUAUAAGUAUAUUGAAAUGAAUGGAUAAUCAUGAAAUUGUUAAAUAAUUGAUGCUAUCAUUCCAUUGACUAAAGAACCAUAAUUUUUUUUUUAAAUUAAUUUCAAAAUUAAUUAAUUAAUUAAUUUUCAAGCAGAGUUCACGUAGAUCUUGAGUGAAAUUUUUCUUUUUUUGACUAAUGCUUCAAUUUUAUUGUAUCAUUAGUUUUUUAUUUUUAUUACCCAGAAUAUUUUAAAAUGAGUAUACUAUUUUCAUGUAAUAAUGUAACUUGGUAUUCACACAUCGAAAUAUGCUAUAAUCUUUAGGCCAUAUAGAUUUGUAUAAAUAUAAAUUAACUUGCCUAAAUACAUUGUAAAUGUAUAUUGUUUGGAUAAGAAUAAAGUUUUUCUGUAGACAA
This is a long non-coding RNA of Biomphalaria glabrata, 1868 nucleotides long. RefSeq lists it as uncharacterized. The record is from RefSeq and is a predicted model, not a curated record. The transcript is spliced from 4 exons. Lineage: Eukaryota; Metazoa; Mollusca; Gastropoda; Planorbidae.